AUGGCUGUCGUCAGCUCGUGUCGUGAGAUGUUGGGUUAAGUCCCGCAACGAGCGCAACCCUCGCUUCCAGUUGCUACCGGGUAGUGCCGAGGACUCUGGAAGGACUGCCGGUGCCAAACCGGAGGAAGGUGGGGACGACGUCAAGUCAUCAUGGCCCUUACGUCUAGGGCUACACACGUGCUACAAUGGACCGUACAAAGGGUUGCGAAGCCGCGAGGUGGUGCCAAUCCCAGAAAGCGGUCCUCAGUUCGGAUUGUAGUCUGCAACUCGACUACAUGAAGUUGGAAUCGCUAGUAAUGGCGCAUCAGCUACGGCGCCGUGAAUACGUUCCCGGGCCCUGUACACACCGCCCGUCACGUCAUGAAAGCCGGUUUCGCCCGAAGUGCGUUUGCCAACCAGCAAUGGAGGCGGCGCCCUAAGGUGAGGCUGGUGAUUGGGACGAAGUCGUAACAAGGUAGCCGUAGGGGAACCUGCGGCUGGAUCACCUCCUUUCUAAGGAGACGGCAAAGCCACGCAAGUGGCGGCGCCGAUGGUCGAAGGAAGCGGUGGGGUUAAACCCGCUGUCUUCUGGGUUCCAGUUGGUCGCACAAAGUAAAUUUUAAGAGGAAUGUUCUUUCCAACAUCACGCUCGUGUAUGGGGUCGUAGCUCAGCUGGCAGAGCACCUGCUUUGCAAGCAGGGGGUCGCCGGUUCGAAUCCGGCCGGCUCCACCACGCUGUGAUCCCGACAAGGGUUUUUGCCAAUUUCCAAUCUUGGGCUCAUAGCUCAGUUGGUUAGAGCACGCGCUUGAUAAGCGCGGGGUCGAUGGUUCAAGUCCAUCUGGGCCCACCAUUUCGUACUUGGUGCGAAUUCCGGGGUUGGGCAGCGGUGGCAAGGGGGAUGUUGGGUGAUUGACCGCUUUUGUUCUUUGAAAUUUUAGGGUAGUGUAAGAUGUAAGUGGGUAAGAUAAACGCCUAGAAUAUGUGAGCGUUUGCAUAAACCAGUUACAGCAAUUGAUGGAUGCCUUGGCUUCAUCAGGCGACGAAGGACGCAGCAAGCUGCGAAAAGCUUCGGGGAGCGGCACGCACGCUUUGAUCCGAAGAUUUCCGAAUGGGGAAACCCGG
RNAcentral lists this small RNA (1102 nucleotides) under uncultured Opitutus sp. RNAcentral's name for it is "bacterial SSU rRNA". The stretch from base 1 to 492 matches the Rfam family "Bacterial small subunit ribosomal RNA", at positions 1045 to 1533 of the family's 1533-position model. Lineage: Bacteria; Pseudomonadati; Verrucomicrobiota; Opitutia; Opitutales; Opitutaceae. The record is from RNAcentral.